This is a long non-coding RNA of Vicia villosa (hairy vetch), 559 nucleotides long. RefSeq lists it as uncharacterized. The record is from RefSeq and is a predicted model, not a curated record. The transcript is spliced from 2 exons. Lineage: Eukaryota; Viridiplantae; Streptophyta; Magnoliopsida; Fabales; Fabaceae.
UACAAAUCUAUACAUGUCGCUCUCACUAUUAUUUUUUAAUUAAUAAUAUAAAAACAUCAAUCAUGUGGCUACAUACUUUCCAGGCAGCAUCCCCAUCCUGCAAGUUUAGAAUCUUUUUAAAUCUCCAAACUCAUAUCACUUCUCCAUAGCUUGAACCUCUAACUCCGAGGCUUCACAAGCUCAUCAAAAUCACUACAAAAUUAUAGAUCAAGGUAUCAAAUAUGAAGCCUCAUAUUCUCAUGGUGUUAAUCAUCAUGCUUGUUUCGAUUUCUCAUAAGCCAUCACUUAUAGAAGCAAGGACACUUUCCCUAAUCUCAAAUCAAGGGUACUCAAAGAUUUUUGCAACACUUGGAGUUGUUUGCAAAUGUUGUGAUGGAGUUGGUAGUGCUUGCACUAGUACUUGGACAGAAUCUUGCAAGAACUUGGAAUGUUUACCUUGGAAAUCACACUAGUUAUUUUUUGUGAUUUUUCCUAGUCUUAUAUUUUAUGUACCUAUAUAUUAAGUUUAGGAAUAUCAUAUAUAUACCUAUAAAUUAAAAUAUGAAGUUUGUGUUCUAAA